Molecule: ribosomal RNA, 519 nt
Filed under: uncultured bacterium
Lineage: Bacteria
Description: bacterial SSU rRNA
Rfam family: Bacterial small subunit ribosomal RNA
Source: RNAcentral
AACGAACGCUGGCGGCGUGCCUAAUACAUGCAAGUCGAACGAGAGGAUGGGGUAACCCAUUAGUAAAGUGGCAGACGGGUGAGUAAUACAUAAGUAACUUACCUUUUAGUUGGGGAUAACCUUCCGAAAGGAGGGCUAAUACCGAAUAAGACCACAAGAACUACGGUUCUAGGGGUUAAAGGUGGCUUCGGCUAUCGCUAAAAGAUGGGCUUAUGCACCAUCAGGUAGUUGGUAAGGUAACGGCUUACCAAGCCUAUGACGGUUAACUGAUCUGAGAGGUUGAUCAGUCACACUGGAACUGAGACACGGUCCAGACUCCUACGGGAGGCAGCAGUAGGGAAUAUUGCGCAAUGGAGGAAACUCUGACGCAGCGACGCCGCGUGGGUGAUGAAGGCUUUCGGGUCGUAAAGCCCUGUCGGAGGAGAAGAAAACGGUAUGGCUAAUAUCCAUACCGCUUGACGGUAUCCUUAAAGGAAGCACCGGCUAACUACGUGCCAGCAGCCGCGGUAAUGUCGUCAU